Molecule: transfer RNA, 64 nt
Filed under: Macrophthalmus pacificus
Lineage: Eukaryota; Metazoa; Arthropoda; Malacostraca; Decapoda; Macrophthalmidae
Description: tRNA-Thr
Rfam family: tRNA
About the family: Transfer RNA (tRNA) molecules are approximately 80 nucleotides in length. Their secondary structure includes four short double-helical elements and three loops (D, anti-codon, and T loops).
Source: RNAcentral
GUUUUUAUAGUUUAAAAAAAACAUUGGUCUUGUAAACCAAAGAUAAAUACUGCUUUUAAAAACU